RNAcentral lists this long non-coding RNA (1436 nucleotides) under Canis lupus familiaris (dog). RNAcentral's name for it is "lncRNA (ENSCAFG00000057023.1, ENSCAFG00845018927.1)". The record is from RNAcentral. Lineage: Eukaryota; Metazoa; Chordata; Mammalia; Carnivora; Canidae.
CGCGCCUCCCGACCCCGGCUGCGCUUCACGCCCGGGUGGUGUCCCGCCUGGUGCAUCUCUUUUACCCACUCUUUCGCCCAUCACCUUCGGCGAAUACCGUGAGAGCAAGGGCAGGGGAGGAAGCGUGAAGAAAACAAAAGCACACACCUCCUAAGCACACGCCUCCUGCUCACUCUGGACCCCGCCCCCGAAAGGGAAGGAACCGGGCAGCAGGGAGGGGGGGGCGACGCCUCAAGCGCCAUCUUUUACGUGGGCGGAAGAAGUUGCUGCUUAAUUUUUCGUUUCCUCGUGGGACGCCGUAGGUACGUCCUGGAGUUUUCGAUUUGCGAUUACGUGAACGCGCGAGCUCCGUGAGAGGGGCGGCGGGGACUGCUCCGCCGCGUGCGUCGGGAAGAUGCGGAGCGAGGUGUCGGCAGGUGUCGGCCGUGUUGUGUUUAGUGCGCGAGGCUGCUGGGCUCCCAGGAAGCCCGAAAUGUCUUCUGUGUUACUUCAGAGCUGGAGUUGAGGACUUGUUGAUUACCUCCGAUUUAUCAGGAUUACAGCAAAUUAGAUUUAACUGUGACUGGCAUGUGAACUAUCUGAUGUUUGGACAGGGAUGAGGAAUAUUGCUAUGGACACCACGGUGAGUUUCAUUUCUUUUAAGUAAUGAGAUUUUAUGUGCUUGCCUUAAUCAUUGCAGACUUAUCAAUAUGCACUUUAUGAUAUAUUAGCUUUUGGUUGAAAUAUGAAUGAGCCAACAACCAACUGAGGUACUUGCAGUUGGAACCUUGGUUACUGGAUAUAUUAAGUUAGUUCCGUGAAACAGUGUGGUAUAAAUGGUUUAGAAAGCUCUGGUAGGUCCACGUCUGUUCUAAUGAUGAGCAAGGUGGACAACACCCCUGUGAGUGAACAUUAGGGUCUCAUGUAUAUUUUCAGGUCCUUCUGAGACUCACCAUUCUAUAAACAAUAAGCUUCUCAAUGAGAGGAAUCACAUCCUCCACCAGGUAUUCACCUCUGUUCCUUCCUCCAUGCUGGUGCUCUGUACCUCACAAACCACAGCUGUGAAUGAUCUAAGGUCCCAGAUAAAGAGUCCUGAGGGAGAAGAAAUCCCUAGUUAAUUGCAGCAUCAUAAGAUGCACAGCAAGAAAGAGAACAAGUAGGAAGACAAGCCUACCAAUUUCUUAAAUCUUAGACGAGAUCAUUAGACAUCCUGAUAAGGUUGCCAUAAUCUGAUGGAAUUCAGAUGCAGUGGGUAGUGCGGAGUGAUAGUUUUGCUGCUGUCCUGCUAUAAUGCCUGAGUGACAGUGGACCAGUGGCAAAUGACUGGCAGCUUUCAAGCAUUCUGACUCCUUCUAUAGCCAUACACUUCCCAGGCCCAUUUCGGAAUGUGGCCCAGAGCCCGACUGCCUUCGGUUACCCUGACUUGCAGCUCUCAGCAUUUUCUUGUUUAUACUUGU